GCAGAAUAGCAGGCUUAGCAGCCAGUUCGCCGGGAAGAAAAUCGGAAAGGAGGUAAAGGAGCUGAAGAGGCCGAAGAACUGAUGAAGAAGACGAUGGCAAUUGGGCCUAUUUUUUUCUCAUUUUUGGGCCUUUUUUUAAAAAAAAAAUGACACCCAAAUCCAGUGGCCCAAUUCCUUGAAAUUAAUAGACGGUUGGAGAAUAUUUCCAUUGCCUUCACCAAUUUGAAGUCCAAAAUUGAAACCAAUAAACGAAGAGCUGAACCGAAACUGGGAAAAGGGCGAUUGCGAUUUGCGAUUGUGAAGGCAGUGGACUAUGGGCUGGUGCCUGGCAGAGUGGUGUGAGUUGAGUGGACAGUGACCGGUGAGCGUGUGUGGCCUGUGACCGUGAGCGACGAGGAGGUGGACGGUAGAGUCACUGGAGUGGUGCGAGUGCGACCGUGCGGCAUGCUAGUUGAGUGGACGGUGAGUCGAUCGCUAGUGGCUGCGACUGCAAGUGAGACUUCUGGCCUUGGUGUCUGGUGAACUAUUCUGUUUUUUUUUUUCCCUUUUCAUUUUGAUGCCUUAAUUUGAUUAUUUUGUUAAAUGUGAUGAUUAUGAUUUAUGAAAAUUGGGAAAUUUGUAAAUUUUGUGAAUUUGUGACUGUGGUUUGUAAAUUGGGAAUUUUAUGACUUGUGAGAAAUGUUCAAUUAGUGUUGGAAAUUAGAAAUUGGAAAUUGAUAAUAGUUUAAGUUUUAAGUUUAAUUUAUGUUUAAUUUUCAUACAGAUCAUGAUAACUGGAAAAAUUAUUGCUAAUCUCGAUUCUUGAGUUUAGUUGACACUUUUGUCUUCAUUGCAUUGCAUUGAGGUGAGGUCCCUGUAUUUUUUGUGCAAACAAGAGCCUUCACUUGUCUGUAGAUAAAUUUAGUUCAUAAAUGAGCUUUUGUUUCUGAAUCCGUUUUGUUUAGAGGCAUUUACUUUAGUUGUUAAGAAAUGAAGGAAUAAUUGAAUUCCAGAACAGGAGUGAGUGUAGUGUGUAGUGUGAUCAUUUAAUUAGAAAUCUCACUUUUCAAUUGAUUAUAUGCCUGGAAUAUGUUAGUGGAAGUGAGGGCUUGGAGAAUAUAGCCCAAAAAAUUUGAAUUGAAUGGCAAUUUGUUGACUUGGUCUUCAAAGUGAACAUAUACUUCUUCAUUGAUAAUCAAUAUUUUAGUCUACAACAAGGACAAGAGUAGCAUGUAGAGUUUGCAUAAAUUCCUUCAAUUUCAGUUAGUCUCGUCAAUAUUAUUUUGAAUAAGGAUAUAUUCUAAGUUUUGUUCAAUUAAAAAAAAAAAAAAUAUUUGAUCGAUGUCACUUUGUGUUGGGCAUAUCAAAGAAGGAUAAUGUAUUUGUGUUGGUAUACCAAACGUUGGAUUUAUUUAAUUAAAUUUAACGAUCUCACUAUUACGAUCAUUGAUGGUCAACGAUCAACGGACAACAGCCAAAAUCCGCCCUAGCUGAACUCCGAUGCUGAAUUCGCCCCUGCACACUUGACGUCACAUUUCCCAUUUAUCACCACCCCUUCAAACAACAAAAAAUCAGCUAUCAAUCAAAAAUUCCACGCUUCGAGCCAUAAACACACCACCUACGACACGGAAUUUCGUUCCCAGUAAAUGAAUAUCAUAUCAAAUUUCAAAACUGGUUUUUUUCUGGUGUUCUUUUUUGUUCUUCUUUCCCUGGUUUUUGAGUUAUUGAUAAUGAGGAAGUCCGAAGAUCCGCUCUAAAAGGAGGGUGGAGACAGACGGGUUAACUAAGAAAGAAGCAAAAGAAAAGUGUGUAAUUUGCGUAUGUAUUUGUCCGUUUGCAUGUAUUUUUUUAUUUUUUUUUUAUAAUAAUUAAACACUUUGAACAAAACAAACACAUCAUUAUCUUGGAUUGAUGACUAAGUUUCGGUCAAAGGCUGCUGUGGAUCUAUACAGAAAGAGAAUUACAUAUUAAAAGGUUGAACCCCAACCUUAAGCGUCCCCCAUCGCCUUUGUCCUGGAGUAUUGUGAGGGAGGUAAAUCGUAGGUUAUGCCUUCAAGGGUACAAAGUGGAAGGUUGCUUGUACACUUGCACUUACUCAAGAGUCAAAUCCAUAUUUCAAGAUUCGAACCCUUGACGCAGCAACCUCAAGCAAAACUGGAUUUCUCCACCUUCCUCUUUUACGACUUGAAGAUGUGCUCUGAGGGCGAAAGAGAAUUAUAUAUUUGUUGUAUGUUUUGAUGCUUCCUUAACCAGUUUCGAGAGAUACAUUUGAGUUGGAAUCUGCUAUCAAAAAUUGACUGCCCAAUUCGUUGUUCAAUCAAAGAUUUAUUGACACAUAAUAUGUCCAACUUUUCUCUCACCGUCAUUUGUGCUUGAAAAUAAGUGUAAAAUGAUAUGUCAAUAUAUCAUUUGAUAAACAGCAAGUCGGAUAAACAUUUUUGGACAGCAAAUCUCAACUCAUUUUGUGUUGCCUUUUUUCUUCCUGCUUCUUCAUAACUUUUUUGUUAUGUUUAAUAUAUGGUUGCUACUUCGAAAAGAAAAGAUGGGUAGGGUCGGAGUCGAGGGUAAAGUAAUUCCAAAUUGACGGUGAAAAUGUGUUGAAAUCUCAAUCACUUAAAUGAAUUCUAUUUACAUAUAGUUACUUGCGCUUGGUCACCAUGCUUUUGACCUGUUAUUGACUUUGGGGUCAAUGUUACUAGGUUGAAAUUGUCAUGCUUAGUAGUCAGGUAGACUCAAAUAAGCGAAUUUGAGCUUCGUAAAUCUUGUUGAAUUUCAUGAACGAAUGAUUGAAUUUGAGCUCACGAGAAGAAUACCGCUUAAGGCGAUUUUAUCAUGUUAUUGUUCAGUCCGUUUUAAGUCGAUAGUGAUGAUUGUUUGUCUUCAUCAUGACAAAAGCUCACUAAAUGCUAGUGCCUGACUUAUGCCUUCUAUUUCGAGGUGGGGCUCCUUGCCUAUGCUUUUCUAUUCAUCAUGCUAAUUCUUUCUUUGUACUGCAAGUCAGCUUACGAUAUUAUCAUGCACAAGUCUAUGUUAUGGAUUAGUUUGUAAGGUUCUCAAUAUUUUACUCUCUCUUGAAGAUAUUUCCGAGUACUUCACAAAUUUUUUUGUGUCAUUACAGAGACGUGGGGGCAAGCUGCAAUCACCUGAAUCUUUUCCAAAUUUUGAAAGCUUUAGUUCAAAGGGAAGAACACUGGGUCAAUAAAGUGUAAAGAAUUGCUUGGAAGUUGGUGCCCCACCUAAAGCUAAGUUUUGAACAAAACUAGAGAUGAAACAUGGAGCUUUAAAAAGAGGUAUUCACAAUCAAACUCGGAUUAGUAUCGUGGGGUUAGAAAUUAAAAUGUAAGUUAUAAACAACAUAAUAUUAAUGAAAUUAUGUUAAUACAAUACUAUAAUUGUAGUUUACACAUCUUGAUACUUUGAAAACGUCAUAUAAUUAUAUCAUUAUUAAUAUUGUCAAAUAAAUUAUGCUAUUUGUA
RNAcentral lists this long non-coding RNA (3455 nucleotides) under Olea europaea subsp. europaea. The record is from RNAcentral. Lineage: Eukaryota; Viridiplantae; Streptophyta; Magnoliopsida; Lamiales; Oleaceae.